ACGGGAGGCAGCAGUGGGGAAUAUUGGGCAAUGGGCGAAAGCCUGACCCAGCAACGCCGCGUGAAGGAGGAAGGUCUUCGGAUUGUAAACUUCUUUUAUAAGGGACGAAGAAAGUGACGGUACCUUAUGAAUAAGCCACGGCUAACUACGUGCCAGCAGCCGCGGUAAUACGUAGGUGGCAAGCGUUAUCCGGAUUUACUGGGUGUAAAGGGCGUGUAGGCGGGACAUCAAGUCAGAUGUGAAAGCACGAGGCUCAACUUCGUGUCUGCAUUUGAAACUGUCGUUCUUGAGUGUUGGAGAGGCUAACGGAACUCCUAGUGUAGCGGUGAAAUGCGUAGAUAUUAGGAAGAACACCAGUGGCGAAGGCGGUUAGCUGGACAAUAACUGACGCUGAGGCGCGAAAGCGUGGGUAGCAAACAGGAUUAGAUACCCUGGUA
This 437-nucleotide ribosomal RNA is filed under the name uncultured Oscillospiraceae bacterium. RNAcentral describes it as "bacterial SSU rRNA". It matches the Rfam family "Bacterial small subunit ribosomal RNA", at positions 341 to 792 of the family's 1533-position model. Lineage: Bacteria; Bacillati; Bacillota; Clostridia; Eubacteriales; Oscillospiraceae. The record is from RNAcentral.